Molecule: ribosomal RNA, 269 nt
Filed under: Rhizophagus intraradices
Lineage: Eukaryota; Fungi; Glomeromycota; Glomeromycetes; Glomerales; Glomeraceae
Source: RNAcentral
CAGUCGUGUGGGAAGUAUUCAGCCGUCUCUGGCGGUGUAUUUGCUUCUCACGGGUCAACAUCAGUUUGAUCCGGUAGAAAAAGGCGGGAAGAAGGUGGCACCCUCGGGUGUGUUAUAGCUUCCUGUCAUAUGUGCCGGACCAGACUGAGGAACGCAGCUUGCAGCAAUGCCGGGGUUCGCCCACGUACAAGCUUAGGAUGUUGACAUAAUGGCUUUAAACGACCCGUCUUGAAACACGGACCAAGGAGUCUAGCAUAUAUGCGAGUGUU